This 460-nucleotide ribosomal RNA is filed under the name uncultured bacterium. Its description in RNAcentral is "partial 16S ribosomal RNA". It matches the Rfam family "Bacterial small subunit ribosomal RNA", at positions 338 to 795 of the family's 1533-position model. The record is from RNAcentral.
CCUACGGGCGGCAGCAGUGGGGAAUAUUGGUCAAUGGACGAAAGUCUGAUCCAGCCAAGUAGCGUGAAGGAUGACGGCCCUAGGGGUUGUAAGCUUCUUUUAUGUGGAGGUAGAAUUUUCCGCGUUUAGGAUUUUGUAUGUACCAUAUGAAUAAGGAUCGGCUAACUCCGUGCCCGCAGCCGCGGUAAUACGGAGGAUGCGAUCGUUGUCCGGAUUUAUUGGGGUGAAAGGGAACGGAGGUGGAUUGUUAAGUCAGUUGUGAAAGUUUGCGGCUCAACCGUAAAAUUGCAGUUGAAACUGGCAGUCGUGAGUACAGUAGAGGUGGGUGGAAUUCGUGGUGUAGCGGUGAAAUGCGUAGAUAUCACGAAGAAUUCCGAUUGCGAAGGCAGCCCACUGGACUGCAACUGACACUGAGGCUCGAAAGUGUGGGUAUCAAACAGGAUUAGAUACCCGAGUAGUC